This 1303-nucleotide long non-coding RNA is filed under the name Pan troglodytes (chimpanzee). RNAcentral's name for it is "long non-coding RNA NONPTRT012532". The record is from RNAcentral. Lineage: Eukaryota; Metazoa; Chordata; Mammalia; Primates; Hominidae.
CUCUGGGCGCGUGGGACUGAGAACUCCUCCGCCGUGGGGAAGAUUUUUUUCCCAGCAGAUGUUGGGGUGUUACUGCGUGUCUGAGGGGCCGGCGGAAUGGAGGGGUCCCGGUUCGUGCGGGGCAGCGAGGUGUGUCAGAUGAGCUGUGGAUCCCUGCGGCCCCACGUGGGCCGGAGAGGGGGGCCCACGACAACAAGCGAUUGAGGACAGCGAUGGACAGGGCGGGGAACCAGCUGGGUGGAAGCACAGGGAAAGUGUGGUGAGGAGGGAAGGGCUGUGAUCUGCCCUCGGUACGACGCCCCAAGGGACAGCCUGGCCUCCUGAAUUAGGGAAAAGACAACCCGUCUCUUUAGACUGGGGCGCCUCAGAGUCUGACCUGAGUCUUCAAACGCCCAGAUCCCCUGGGGCCUUGAGUCUCCCUUUCCCGCUGGCCCUGCCUCGCCUGCGCUUCAAGACUCCGACGCCCCCGCAGCCUUGGGCUAAGGGUCAGUCGUCCCCGGGCGCGGGUCCGGCUGCCCUGGAACUGAUGCUGGAUUUCGCUGGGUUAUAAGAUGAGCAGUACAAUAGAGGAUGGACUGGAGUUGGAAAAGACUAAAGCAGCAAGUUUGAUAAGGAGGCUACAGCAAUAGUCCAGGUGAAAGACGCAAGAGCCCAAAAUGCGGCAGUGGCCAAGGGAAUGGAUCUGAGAUAAAGUUCAGAAGAUAGAGUUGGCAGGGCAGGUGAGUUUAUCUUUAAUCCAGGAGAAGAGAAGAAGGCCACAUGAAGAUGGAGCAAGAGAUUGGAGUGAUGUGGCCACAAGCCAAGGAAGCUGACGAAUGAAGACAGCUGUCAGAAGCUGGAAGAGGAAAAGGAUUCUCUCUUGGGGUCUCCAGAGGGAGAACAGCCCUGCCAACACUUCCAUUUCCAAUGUCUGGACUCUAGAACUGUGAGAAAAUAAAUUCCCAUUAUUUUAAGGAACACAGUUUGUGAUACUGCAUUACAGCAGCUCCAUGAAACAAAUACAUUUUGUUAUUCCAAGUCCUCUUCACAACAAAGUCUUUGCUAGUGGUGAACCAAACACAGUCCCACCAUCAUGAGCCCCUGUUCUGGAUGAGGGGGCAACACAGUUCAGACACUGGUCAUCUCUAUUUAAUGUCUAAUGGGCAUCUCAAACCUAACUUUCUCCCAGUGGAAAUGCCUGGAGGUAUGUGGAGAUGGAAAGCUGACCUAGCCAAGGAGUUCAGCAAAGAUCCCUGGGAGGAGGUGACAUCUGGACAUCUGCACAGAAUAAUGAGGCUGGGCUAAGGCAGUGACUGAGGGAGGC